AGUGAACGCUGGCGGUAGGCCUAACACAUGCAAGUCGAACGGCAGCACAGAAAGCGCUUGCUCUUACGGGUGGCGAGUGGCGGACGGGUGAGGAACACAUCGGAAUCUACUUUUUCGUGGGGGAUAACGUAGGGAAACAUACGCUAAUACCGCAUACGACCUACGGGUGAAAGCAGGGGAUCUUCGGACCUUGCGCGAGUGAAUGAGCCGAUGUCGGAUUAGCUAGUUGGCGGGGUAAAGGCCCACCAAGGCGACGAUCCGUAGCUGGUCUGAGAGGAUGAUCAGCCACACUGGAACUGAGACACGGUCCAGACUCCUACGGGAGGCAGCAGUGGGGAAUAUUGGACAAAGGGCGCAAGCCUGAUCCAGCCAUACCGCGUGGGUGAAGAAGGCCUUCGGGUUGUAAAGCCCUUUUGUUGGGAAAGAAAAGCAGCAGGUUAAUACCCCGCUGUUCUGACGGUACCCAAAGAAUAAGCACCGGCUAACUUCGUG
Molecule: ribosomal RNA, 492 nt
Filed under: uncultured bacterium
Lineage: Bacteria
Description: partial 16S ribosomal RNA
Rfam family: Bacterial small subunit ribosomal RNA
Source: RNAcentral